UGCGCAGGCGGUGGCUCAAGCCAGGCGUGAAAUCCCCGGGCUUAACCUGGGAAUGGCGUUUGGGACUGGGUCGCUAGAGUGUGGCAGAGGGAGGUGGAAUUCCACGUGUAGCAGUGAAAUGCGUAGAGAUGUGGAGGAACACCGAUGGCGAAGGCAGCCUCCUGGGCCAGCACUGACGCUCAUGCACGAAAGCGUGGGGAGCAAACAGGAUUAGAUACCCUGGUAGUCCACGCCCUAAACGAUGUCAACUGGUUGUUGGGGAAGGAAACUUCCUUAGUAACGAAGCUAACGCGUGAAGUUGACCGCCUGGGGAGUACGGCCGCAAGGUUAAA
Molecule: ribosomal RNA, 332 nt
Filed under: uncultured Pseudomonadota bacterium
Lineage: Bacteria; Pseudomonadati; Pseudomonadota
Description: bacterial SSU rRNA
Rfam family: Bacterial small subunit ribosomal RNA
Source: RNAcentral